AUUUUUUUUAUGGAAUUAAUAAAAUGAAAAUUUGAACAUACAUAUAUGUGCUUAAAAUAUGUAUGUGCAGUUUGAAAGAUACCCUGCACUGUCUACCAAGAUGUAGAAUAAUCAUGAAAUUAUAUAACUUUUUAAUUUCAUUUUAGUUUGAUGCUUGGGAUUGAGCACAGUCUACCAGUGAUCUGUUCUCCAUGCUGCUAGUUACAUUUUACUGCCAGGCAUCUGAUGUUUGUAUCAAGACUUUUAUUUUCCUUUUUUUAAACUAGAUAUUUUCUUUAUUUACAUUUCAAAUGUUACCCCCUUUUUCCUGGUUUCCCCUCAGAACUCCCUAUCUUCUCCCCCUCCCCAUGCUUCUGUGAGGGUGUUCACCACCCACCCAUCCACCCAUUCUCUCCUCCCCGCCUUGGCAUUCCCCUACACUGGGGCAUCGAGCCUUCACAGGACUAAGGGCCUCUCCUCCCACUGGUGCCCUUCAGAGCCAUCCUCUGCUGCCUAUGUGACUGGAGCCAUGAGUCCCUCCAUGUGUUGUAUCAAGAUUUUCAUUUAGAAGACUCUACUUACCCAAUUAAGUCACAUUUUCAGCAGUUUAUGAAUAGGGUCAUUCAUAAUUCUUCUUUUUUUGAGAUAUCUAAAACUGUACCUGUCCUAAUUUUUUAUCUAAGGAAAAUGUUACUUGAUUUGAAAGAAAGUGUUUUUAGUUACCCAUAAAUGGGGUUAGAAAACACAAUGGAGCAAAUUAGUGCCACAGCCAUUUCUCCUAUGGUCUAGAUUUUGCCUUUCCCUUUUGGGUUCUGGUCGGUUUACAGAUUUGUAUAUUGAUGACUAAUUUAUAUAUUGGAUUCACAUUAUUUUGGAGGCUGUUUUCAAUUUACAUACAGCAGCCUCUGCUAAAGAUCUUAUCACAUGUUUUAUGUCUUAAUAUAUAGGUAAUUGUGUUUGUUGUAUGGCUCUAUAAUAGAAAUAAAUAAAUAUAAUGUUAUAAGAAACAUAUAAAUUAAGGGCUAACAGUAUUAGGGAAUUUUUGGUAACUACUUACCUACCAAUGUGGAAAAUGUUUCUUUGAGUGUGUCCUCCAAAAGAGUUGCUGAAGAGAAAAUACUGGUACUUCUCUUGGGAGGAUUUAUCUAUUAGGGGUAGGGGUGAUCUAUUCUAGGAUUCCAGAAAUGAUAAGGCAAAUAUAUACCCAGGGAAUAAUUGCAGUAGGUAGACCUGACUGGAGUAUUGAGUUCACAUUGCUGGGGGAAUAUAGUACAAUUCAAAGGAAAUAUAUUGUGAACUCAGAUGAAUCUGUCACUGAUGUUUGGAAGUACUGGAAUAGUAAGGGAAGCCAAGAUUUGUUGAGGAAAACUAUAUGGAUGAGCUAAUUUGUUAGGGGGGACAGGAAUGUCUAUCCAUAUAAAAAGGUAACAGUCAUUAAUCGAUGAGGGCAGAUAAGAAUGUAUCAAAAGACAGUUCUUCCGUGCAAGAAUUGUGUUCAUAGAUAUAUCAGUUGGAACUGUGCACCUCACAAUCUUUAGUUCUCUAUACGUGAUCAGUUAGGGGAUCCAAUGAUACCUAUUUGUUUCAAAGAGAAAUUUCUGUGAUGAGAGGUUAUAGUUAGACUAAUUGUGGG
RNAcentral lists this long non-coding RNA (1612 nucleotides) under Mus musculus (house mouse). RNAcentral describes it as "long non-coding RNA chr6:33433007-33434619". Lineage: Eukaryota; Metazoa; Chordata; Mammalia; Rodentia; Muridae. The record is from RNAcentral.